UCCCUAGUGGCUCAGCUGGUAAAGAAUCUGCCUGCAAUGCAGGAGAACUGGGUUCGAUCCCUGGGUUGGGAA
Molecule: transfer RNA, 72 nt
Filed under: Bos taurus (domestic cattle)
Lineage: Eukaryota; Metazoa; Chordata; Mammalia; Artiodactyla; Bovidae
Also listed under: 5 other names
Rfam family: tRNA
About the family: Transfer RNA (tRNA) molecules are approximately 80 nucleotides in length.
Source: Rfam by way of RNAcentral